Daphnia pulicaria is the source of this 1308-nucleotide long non-coding RNA. RefSeq lists it as uncharacterized. NCBI's taxonomy places the organism in Eukaryota, Metazoa, Arthropoda, Branchiopoda, Diplostraca, Daphniidae. The record is from RefSeq and is a predicted model, not a curated record. The transcript has 5 exons.
UGUCGAUGUCGAUUGAGUAGGUUAGUUCUAUUCCUAUUUAGGAAUUUGAGUUCUUCUGUCAUUGGAGUUCUACUGUCAGCAACCCUUGUUAACUGACCGCUAGAUGCCACUGUCUUCAGUUGAUUUUGUCAUGAUGUACAGACUGCAUCAUGAAACAUGGCGAAACAAAUUGUCGCUAAUUUGCUUUGUAUCUUAAUUUUCUGUGAACUUUGUUCGUAAAGUCAGUCCGUCAUUCCAACAAGUUGACUUAGUGCUCAGUCAAUUUCCAUCCAUUAGAUCCUUAUGCUGUCAAAAGCCUGAAACUCAUAUUUGAAGCCUACAUACAGUGGAAUUAGACAAAAGUUCUUGCGCAUGGACCAUAGGAUCUUUUCUGAAUCUUGCAAGUGUAACCUGUGUCAGAAUGUUUGUCAAGUGUACGACUGUUUCUACAGCCGUUCAGAAGGCAACCCAGCUGAGAGAUAGAGUUCCAGUUUCAGAGAAUGUACAUGAAGAGUGUGUAGUGUAUUUAGUACAUUUACCAGAUCUGCUUGAUGAAAGUCAAAUACCUUACUGAAUUCGUCACCCAAAUGGCCAAAUGAUAAAGAACUAUUUGUGACGUCCCCUGAGAUCGCGAGUCGGCCGCCAGUUUCAAUCUACAACGCAGUUUUCUUCAUGGAAUCGUGAGGUCCUGGCACGGAGAUCCUUGAGCCAACGCUGGCUUUUGUCCAUGACAGAAGAGGGACUUCCACCAACGUUCGGAUCCUUAUCUUCACGAUCUACGCUCAUCUAGCUUCACUUCUUCUUAACACAAUUUGUUUUACUUCACUGGCGACUUGGCGAGUUUCUGGACCACUUCAUGAUCGCUUCCGUCCGCUGUUACACUCCUGUAAUCAUUCACCACGGGAUUAUGCCCAGGUGAUGCAGAGGAGACGUCGAGAAGAUGGAUUUCCUCAUCUUUAACAGUCGUCACCGGUCUCCGUCGCAUGUUGCCCGUGCUCCUGGUGCGAACGAAACUCGUUAUCAACGUGGAUCAUCGUAUUGUUGGUAUUAUUUCGUUUGUGUUAGUGUUAGUUAACCCGUUGUCUGCCACGCCUUUGUUCUCCCCUGCACGGGCCGUGCUGUUCGGUCUCGUGGUUUACAAGCCGCGGGGUCGGAGAGUCGCCAAGCCCAAAAUUUGCCGCAAGGCAAGCCUGUUAUAAGGCAAUGCACCUUAGUCCCCCCUUGUCAGCACGGACUUGUCAGCAAUGGCAAGUCCCACUUGGUCAUGGAUCCUUCAGACGUGGCACGUAGAGUAGUAGAGUACAACCUACGGGUUGUAUGGCGUGGCAG